Molecule: unclassified non-coding RNA, 294 nt
Filed under: Hevea brasiliensis (rubber tree)
Lineage: Eukaryota; Viridiplantae; Streptophyta; Magnoliopsida; Malpighiales; Euphorbiaceae
Source: RNAcentral
UAGACUUGAUUUUCAAGUUAUUUGAUCUGAUUUUGACCUUGGUUUGAACCUAAUAACAAUUAAUCAAUGAAAUUAAACAAUUAAUAUAUAUAAAAUUAAAUAUAAUUCAUAAAUUUUUCAUAAAAAUAAAUUAAUUCAAAAAUCGAUUCGAUUCGAUUUGGUUCGAUUUGAAUAUAUAAAAUUAUCAUUCGGUUCAGUUAGGUUUAACCUUUUUUUUCCUCUUCAAAGCCGAAUUGAACCGAAAUAAUAGAAAUUUUUAUAAAUUAAAAUCGAACCGAACCGAUUAAAUUUUAA